GAUGAAGAACGCAGCGAAAUGCGAUAAGUAAUGUGAAUUGCAGAAUUCAGUGAAUCAUCGAAUCUUUGAACGCACCUUGCGCCCUUUGGACAUUCCGAAGGGCAUGCCUGUUUGAGUAUCAUGAACACCUCAACUCUCACGGCUUGUCCGUGAUGAGCUUGGACUUUGGGGGUCUUGCCGGCCUGUGGUCGGCUCCUCUCAAAUGGAUCAGCUUGCCAGUGUUUGGUGACAUCACAGGUGUGAUAACUAUCUGCGCUUGUGGUUUUCCAUCAGAUAACCUUCAGUGAUAUGGAGGUUCGCUGGAGCUCACAAAUGUCUCUCCUUAGUGAGGACAGCUCUUUGAACGUUUGAUCUCAAAUCAGGUAGGACUACCCGCUGAACUUAAGCAUAUCAAUAAGCGGAGGA
Molecule: unclassified non-coding RNA, 405 nt
Filed under: soil metagenome
Description: partial contains 5.8S ribosomal RNA, internal transcribed spacer 2, and large subunit ribosomal RNA
Rfam family: 5.8S ribosomal RNA (bases 1-121)
Source: RNAcentral